GUGUCAGCAGCCGCGGUAAUACGGAGGGUGCAAGCGUUAUCCGGAAUCAUUGGGUUUAAAGGGUCCGCAGGCGGUCUUAUAAGUCAGUGGUGAAAGCCUACAGCUCAACUGUAGAACUGCCAUUGAUACUGUAGGACUUGAAUCUGGUCGAAGUGGGCGGAAUGUGUAGUGUAGCGGUGAAAUGCAUAGAUAUUACACAGAACACCGAUAGCGAAGGCAGCUCACUAGGUCAGUAUUGACGCUCAUGGACGAAAGCGUGGGGAGCAAACAGGAUUAGAAACCCUGGUAGUCC
This 292-nucleotide ribosomal RNA is filed under the name uncultured bacterium. RNAcentral's name for it is "partial 16S ribosomal RNA". It matches the Rfam family "Bacterial small subunit ribosomal RNA", at positions 505 to 796 of the family's 1533-position model. The record is from RNAcentral.